RNAcentral lists this long non-coding RNA (306 nucleotides) under Triticum aestivum (bread wheat). RNAcentral's name for it is "long non-coding RNA (TAES_LNC025646)". Lineage: Eukaryota; Viridiplantae; Streptophyta; Magnoliopsida; Poales; Poaceae. The record is from RNAcentral.
AGGGCGCGGACGCAAAAACGCCCGCCCCUCCGCCCGCAGGCCGCAGUCCAGCCAGUGCCGCUCCGCUCUAUAUAAAGGAGCCGAGAGCGGGGGGAGGAAACCCUAAGCAGAGUGGGGAAAGGCGUCUUCGUACUCGCCUCUCUCCGCGCAACCGAGCCUUCCGCCCACCUCCUCCCCAUUUCGCCAGCGGCGCACCCACCAACCACCCCCACCCGCCGCCAUGAGGGAGUGCAUCUCGAUCCACAUCGGCCAGGCCGGCAUCCAGGUCGGGAACGCGUGCUGGGAGCUCUACUGCCUCGAGCAUGG